Molecule: long non-coding RNA, 388 nt
Organism: Brienomyrus brachyistius
Lineage: Eukaryota; Metazoa; Chordata; Actinopteri; Osteoglossiformes; Mormyridae
Exons: 3
Source: RefSeq, a predicted model, not a curated record
AGCAUUAGGUGCUCUAACCCCAUACAUCCUGUCUCCUCUCAUUCUAAGAGGCAUCAGCAAAGGAAACUCCAUGCAGUGUCUCCCUGAGUACAGGAUGGACUUUCUGCUUCACAGGACGUGUCCUCUCUGAGGAGCUGCCAUCUGGGUAUGAAGAUGUGGAGGACAGUGUGGGAGACCCUUUCUCAGUUAGGAGGCUACGGUUCAGACGUUGAUGGUGACAGGAGACACAGCAGAGGACUAUGAUGAUGUUGAUGGUACAGCAGAGUGCGCAUGUUUUAUCUGGUGAGAGAGCUUUGACCACACCGCCCCCUGGGGAGGGCCCCCCUGAUCCCUGGGUCACAUGAGUGUGGAGUUUGCAUGUUCUCCCCAUGUCGUCGUGGGGUUUCCU